This 118-nucleotide ribosomal RNA is filed under the name Cordylochernes scorpioides. The record is from RNAcentral. Lineage: Eukaryota; Metazoa; Arthropoda; Arachnida; Pseudoscorpiones; Chernetidae.
ACGGCCAUACCCUACAUUGAAAACAUCGGUUUUCGUCUGAUCACCGAAGUUAAGCAAUGUCGGGGCCCGGUCAGUACUUGGGAGGGUGACCACCUGGGAACACUGGGUGCUGUAGGCU